AGGACGAACGCUGGCGGCGUGCUUAACACAUGCAAGUCGAACGGCAGCACAGGGGAGCUUGCUCCCUGGGUGGCGAGUGGCGGACGGGUGAGGAAGACGUCGGAAUCUGCCUAUUUGUGGGGGAUAACGUAGGGAAACUUACGCUAAUACCGCAUACGACCUACGGGUGAAAGCGGAGGACCUUCGGGCUUCGCGCAGAUAGAUGAGCCGACGUCGGAUUAGCUAGUUGGCGGGGUAAAGGCCCACCAAGGCGACGAUCCGUAGCUGGUCUGAGAGGAUGAUCAGCCACACUGGAACUGAGACACGGUCCAGACUCCUACGGGAGGCAGCAGUGGGGAAUAUUGGACAAUGGGCGCAAGCCUGAUCCAGCCAUGCCGCGUGUGUGAAGAAGGCCUUCGGUUGUAAAGCACUUUAGUUCCGGAAAGAAAAGACACCGGUUAAGUAACCCUCGGUGUCAUGACGGUAACCGGAAGAAAGUAAAGACACCGGCUAACUUACGCGCCAGCAGCCG
This 511-nucleotide ribosomal RNA is filed under the name uncultured soil bacterium. Its description in RNAcentral is "bacterial SSU rRNA". It matches the Rfam family "Bacterial small subunit ribosomal RNA", at positions 26 to 517 of the family's 1533-position model. The record is from RNAcentral.